RNAcentral lists this ribosomal RNA (720 nucleotides) under bacterium 33-L049658-122-015-A05. RNAcentral's name for it is "bacterial SSU rRNA". It matches the Rfam family "Bacterial small subunit ribosomal RNA", at positions 61 to 792 of the family's 1533-position model. The record is from RNAcentral.
GUCGAACGAUGAUGCCCAGCUUGCUGGGCGGAUUAGUGGCGAACGGGUGAGUAAUACGUGAGUAACCUGCCCUUGACUCUGGGAUAAGCCUGGGAAACUGGGUCUAAUACUGGAUACUACCUCUUACCGCAUGGUGGGUGGUGGAAAGGGUUUUACUGGUUUUGGAUGGGCUCACGGCCUAUCAGCUUGUUGGUGGGGUAAUGGCUCACCAAGGCGACGACGGGUAGCCGGCCUGAGAGGGUGACCGGCCACACUGGGACUGAGACACGGCCCAGACUCCUACGGGAGGCAGCAGUGGGGAAUAUUGCACAAUGGGCGGAAGCCUGAUGCAGCGACGCCGCGUGAGGGAUGACGGCCUUCGGGUUGUAAACCUCUUUCAGUAGGGAAGAAGCGAGAGUGACGGUACCUGCAGAAGAAGCGCCGGCUAACUACGUGCCAGCAGCCGCGGUAAUACGUAGGGCGCAAGCGUUGUCCGGAAUUAUUGGGCGUAAAGAGCUCGUAGGCGGUUUGUCGCGUCUGCUGUGAAAGCCCGGGGCUCAACCCCGGGUCUGCAGUGGGUACGGGCAGACUAGAGUGCAGUAGGGGAGACUGGAAUUCCUGGUGUAGCGGUGAAAUGCGCAGAUAUCAGGAGGAACACCGAUGGCGAAGGCAGGUCUCUGGGCUGUUACUGACGCUGAGGAGCGAAAGCAUGGGGAGCGAACAGGAUUAGAUACCCUGGUA